AGACCAGCCUCUUCAUCUUCCUCAUUCCCCAUUGAAGUAACCCAACUGUUUUGACCUCUUUCCGCACACUUUUCGUAACGUUGGCAUCACACCUCUUAAAGAGUCAUGAAGCCCCUUAAUUUUCUGUAGCCAUCCAACUGUUGUGAUUCCCCUCAGCCUUUCAUCUUAUAUAUACCUUUAUCCCGAUCAAAGUUUUCAAUUACUCAAUUCUUCAACAUGUCUCUAUUGGCUUGGGGGAAGGCGGAGCUGCGUUUCCGGUAAAUCGAUGUUUGGGAAGCAAGGAACACAACCGAAGUGGAAAUUUUGAUUGGGCUAUGACUGCUUCUGAUCUAUGAGCAGACAAUGUACUUUCAUACAUGGGUUCAUCUCACCUAACUGUUGUGUAGCUGUUGAUGAUGAAGGAUGAGCAUACGCGUAGGGUGGGAAUGAACAUGGUGUCGCAAGAGUACUGUCUCUUCCUCAAGGGUUGCUGCAGGUGGUGCUCACUCAGUAGUUUUCACACGCAAAGGUUAUGUGUGGACUUGGGGUCAUUCGUGGCCUCCCGGUGACAUGUAUAGAGACAAAUUAAAACUCACACAAAGCCAUUUGUGCAUUAUUUGGCUACUACUUGAAUGUUCUGUUUUGGUUUCCUCUAUUUAGAAAACAAAUAUUUGUUCGAGUGUUCAAGGUUUUGAAAACUUCUGUUUUAUUGCUGUUGGAGCGUUUCAUUAUCUGGCUCUUGAAAAAGAUGGGAGACUAUUGGAACAACCCCUCAUCAUGUCCCAGUCCAAGGCCUCGACGAUCUCAAUUAGGUUUGUUUCUUUCUCUUCCUUUUAUUGGUUCAUUUUCUACUUAUCAAAACCUUCAGAUGCUUGAUCUACAACUUUUUCCCUCUCUAUCUCUAUCUCUCUUUAGACGUAUUUUUAGGUUGAUGUUGAUGCAUGUGGAUGAUAGAUAUUAGCGCUCAUGUUCUCUCAAACGUGUUCUUAAUGUUUUUUUACUCAUUCUCACCAAUCACCAUGUGCUAGAUCCCCAUUUUCAUCAAGAAUAAUUGUUUGUUUGGUCUUCUAAUUUUAAGUCGGGUUGGGUGACAAUGACAAGAGCAGCAAAAUAGCUCCACAGAAAGUUGAUAUUCUAGCUGACAAAGAUAUCGCUUAAAAUCAAACUUUACUGAUCUUGAGAUGUCUAAAAGAGGACAUCAUUCAUGUAAAGAAGUAUUAAACUUUAAUGAUCAAUAACCUUAUUACAAAAAAAUUUCUUGUGGAGGAACACAUUUUGUUGCUUUGACAACAGAUGGCAGAAUUUUUUUGGUUAGUCCCUUGAAACCCAAAAAACUAACUUUUAGAUUUACUUCAAAAGAAAAGAGUCAUUUCUAAUGAUUAUGAUUUUGAUCAGUUUGGUAGAGGAGAUCAUGGAAGACUUGGUUAUGGAAGGACAAAUGUUUACCAUUUUGAUCAGCUUUUGUGAUUAUGUAUGUCUGAUUAAUGUGUUUUUUUUUCCUUCUAGAUUUAAUGACGUGAUCAAAAAAAGGUGAUUCGAAUUCUUUAUCUCCCAAAAAGUGGAGGAAAAAUGGGUAACUCAUCAUUUUAAAUUUAGUAUCAAAGGAGGCUAAUGUUAUUGCUAUGAACCUUAACAAGAAAAGUGAAGCACUUUCUGUCUUGGGUUAUUGGAAUACGAGAAUAAAGUAAGCUUUUUUGCACCAGUUUACAUUGUAAAGCGAAUGUUUACCGUACCUUACUCCAAAACUCAGGUCUCUACACUUCUCUUGAACAUAAACUAUAGAUAACUGCAUCAAUAUAGUGAAUCUUCCUUGCUUACAAUAAACGUAACUUUCCUUCCAGUGUGAAUUUUUUUUCCUGUAUAUGAAAUAUAACUUAUCAUUUCCGAAUAGUUGAAGUUUUUUUCAAUUUUGCUUAGCUAGCUUUCAUGUGACCUUUGUUGGUUUUCUUUGCAGGAAGUGCACGACUUCUGCUAUUCAUGUGAGGAUGUUUGUCACGCAUAUAGAAAGAAACGUUGGGGAGUUACGAAUCCAGAUUUGAUUGACUAAGUGAGGUGCUGAUACAGUUUUUUUGCCUUAAUGGAUUAAACGUUGGGGUGUUAUAAUUCUGUACACCAAUCAAUUUUAAAAAUAUAUAGGCUGUCUUCAUAUUUAUAAUGCAUUACUGUUAAAAAUCUUAUGUAAUUCCAAUUUAACUUAACACCCCUAGCUGAUCACUGAGCUACCGGUUACCAUCCUCACUUGAUUGCUCAUGAUCAAGGUAACCUUCAUCUCAUUGAGUCUUCUAUUGUAUCCAUCCGAGGCAUCUGUUGACAUUGUGCCAUCUCUAAAAUGAAUCAGCACCCUAACAAAAACAUGCAAUAACCAUCUCCCCUUUUCUGACUGUGGUUCUAAUAUUUCCAUGGUCAUGCAAUCUUCUUGAAAUAUGUGGACAAGUCUUUGAUUGAUACGACAUAUUGAACAUGUGCAUGAAUUAUCACUAUCUAAGUCUGAGAGUGGAGGUGACAAACACCGCGAUGGAGUCGUUGGAAAAAAUGCGAGAGGGAAGUAAAGUAACACUGCAGCUGGGGGACAUAUUACAAUACUGUUGAUUUCUUCAUGAAGCUUCUCCAGCUCUGAGAAUGCCUGGUGGUACCAGCACCGAAAAGAUCUUUAGGUUGUGUAAUUUUACGAGGUGAUCUACCCUCCAAGACAUCAUACCGGGUAGUUUUAUUAAAACAUCACAGUUUUAUCUGUUGCCUUUUGUUUGUGUUUGUUUUUAGCCUUUACCUUAUAUGCAUGAGCUCUUGACAGAUGACUAUAUUUGUUUAGUUAUGUAAAGAUUUUACUCUUUUGGUGUUAUUAAAUCCUUUAAUUAUUUACCAAACGCUUCUUUAUUCGAACUGAAAUGAACUAAAAGGUCGUCUACUCAGUCCCUCAUGGAAGCUAUGUACAAAGCAUCAAACCAUUUAAUUAGAAUGAAAACAGCGACAACUCUAAUGGUUCCGGAAAAAGUGUCUGAUAUAAACACAGAUUCCAUUCUACAAAGAAGCUAUAUUAAAUUGAGGACUGCUUUGAGGAAUUCAAGUAACAAAAACAUAGGUGAUCUUUCAAAAUGAUGAAAGCUUUGAGAGCUAUUGCCUUCACUAAAUCAUUAUGAAGCCAUUUUUUUAUCCAGGAAGAUCAUGUCUUGAGAAGUAAGGAAGCUUCCAUGUUCACAUUCAACAUUUAACUUUAUUCUAAAUGAAACAAAAAAAUCCAUUCACAAUACGACCCCUACAAAAAGGAUAAAAUCUAAUCAAAAGAUAAAAUAUUUAAAUAUUUUAAAAAACUGAAAAAUAAUAAUCCAAUUAUAUACAAAAAUUAUAUUCAUCUCAUUCAUGAGUAAUACACUUAGGUUUAGUAUAAAAAUUAAUUAAAAAUUAUUCAGUAUAAUUUAAAUUUAUUUAUGAAUAAUAUGUCCACAAGAUUUCAAAAUAUUUUAAAUUGUUUGGCCUUCAGUAGAUCUAUUGAAAAUUGUAAGUAUAUCAAAAUACAAUAUUAAUGGUUAAAUGGUACUCCCUCUGUUCCUAAAUAUAAGAUGUUUAGGAAAAAACACACAUAUUAAGAAAAUUAUUUUUUUUUAUCUAGAAAGUAUCAUUAAACCUAUAAAAUAAUUGUAUUCAACCAAUUACAAAAUAGAUUAAUAAAUAUGAUUGGUUACAUAGUUUUUAAUAAAGUAAAAGUUACCUAGAAAAUUGAAAACAUCUUAUAUAUUGGAACAUCAAUUUUUUUUAAAAAACAUCCUAUGUUUAAGAACAGGGAAAGUAUAUAAUUAGGCUAUAUAUAUCAAGCUAAGCUUAACCAUUUCAAUAGAAAACCAAACUUUAGUGUUCUACACCCAAACAAAAUAUUGAUCAGAUUAAAUCAAAAUUUAGUUUUUAAUCUGUUUUAAUCAAUCAAAAAUAGUUCAGAAGCAAAAUUUUAAAAAUAUAUCCAAAACAUAUAUAAAAUAAUAAAUAAUAAUCAUUAAAUCUAUGUAAUAAAAUGUAUAUUAGGAUAUCUUAUAAAGUUUUUAAGCCAUCACCACUUAGAGCUAUAUAUAUAUAGAAAAUCUAAGGCAAACUUCAAAAAAACCAUUUAUGUCAAUAUAUCAAUAAAAAAAUUAUAGAUAACAUGUGUUAAAAAAAUCUAUAGAUGACGAUUUAACAUGCUAGAUUAGCCAAAGACAAUGUGAUUUAAGUAUUUGGUUAAGGAAAUUUUUGAAAAAAAAUAUUGUUAGAGAUACAUUUAUAAUCAAAGAUAGAAUACAUUCAGAUAUAUCACAAUCAAACAUAUAACUUUAACAAAAAAUUAAAAAAUAUUAAAAUACUACACCUAUAAUCUCGUGCAAAUGUAAAAAUGAGAACAUAUUUCUUUUAACAAUUAAUAACUGAAAUGAAUAUUGAAAAUAAAAUAGUACAAUGUCAUAAAAUAUAGUUGAUUUCAAAUAAAAAAUUCUAAGACGUAAAAAUUAUAAAAAGGUCAAAUUAUAUAUGAUUUAAUUAGAAACCAAAUUAUAUUUAUUCUAUUCAAUUUAGAAUAAUUUCAAAUAUAAUUUCCAGUCUCUGAAUCACGUCCACAUACACGUAAGACAUAUAAUAAUCAUGUUUCUAUAAUCAUUAUAUAAGUCGGCUCUUUUUUUGUUGGUUUUGGGUUCGAAUAAGUCAAUAACACACGAGUGAAUAUCCCUAUACCAAAGCCUGACAAUGGUUACUCAAUUAGAAAAUGAGUAUGUAAUGAUAAAGUUUGAGAACUGAAUCUAAGAUAUUUGAUUUUAUUUACGUGCAUAUUUGUUUUGGUGAUAUAAAUGUGGAUUUAUGUAGAAAAAUGUUUAGAAUAAUUCUUGGGAAAAUUACCAAAUGUAACUCACAGCUUGAAUUAUAAUGCAAAAGUAAACUCAAACUUGAAUCAAAUGCAAAAGUAACUUAAAAGAC
Molecule: long non-coding RNA, 4911 nt
Organism: Brassica rapa (field mustard)
Lineage: Eukaryota; Viridiplantae; Streptophyta; Magnoliopsida; Brassicales; Brassicaceae
Source: RefSeq, a predicted model, not a curated record